RNAcentral lists this transfer RNA (75 nucleotides) under Caudoviricetes sp. Its description in RNAcentral is "tRNA-Arg". It matches the Rfam family "tRNA". Rfam says of the family: Transfer RNA (tRNA) molecules are approximately 80 nucleotides in length. Their secondary structure includes four short double-helical elements and three loops (D, anti-codon, and T loops). The record is from RNAcentral. Lineage: Duplodnaviria; Heunggongvirae; Uroviricota; Caudoviricetes.
AUCCGUAUAGCUCAAUGGAAUUAGAGCAUCGCUCUUCUAAAGCGGUUGUUUUCGGUUCGAGUCCGAAUACGGAUG